GGUUCAGCAGGUUCAUCCUUUGGUAAGAAGCGGUCCACACUGCUGUCUGAACCCUGCCGGUUGUGACCUCGACCUUCGAAGAGAUGAGGCACUCAUCGGCUACCAUCCGGACAUCUGACUCGCUGUCAUCACUGCAGAGCAGGAACAUCUCCAUGGCGAUGCCCAGCAGCUUCUGAAACUCUGGAGACGUUCUGCUCCCAGGACCAUAGGAAAGAAAGUCUCAAAGAUUGUCAGAAAUAAAUCCAUGCCACCUCUGCUAGACUCGAGUUGGUACAGGCACCUAGAAGACCGUUUACGACACACCAG
Molecule: long non-coding RNA, 306 nt
Organism: Thunnus maccoyii (southern bluefin tuna)
Lineage: Eukaryota; Metazoa; Chordata; Actinopteri; Scombriformes; Scombridae
Exons: 3
Source: RefSeq, a predicted model, not a curated record